Molecule: ribosomal RNA, 253 nt
Filed under: uncultured bacterium
Lineage: Bacteria
Description: partial 16S ribosomal RNA
Rfam family: Bacterial small subunit ribosomal RNA
Source: RNAcentral
UACGUAGGGUCCGAGCGUUGUCCGGAAUUACUGGGCGUAAAGAGCUCGUAGGCGGUUUGUCGCGUUGUUCGUGAAAACUCACAGCUUAACUGUGGGCGUGCGGGCGAUACGGGCAGACUGGAGUACUGCAGGGGAGACUGGAAUUCCUGGUGUAGCGGUGGAAUGCGUAGAGAUCGGGAAGAACACCCGUGGCGAAGGCGGCCAGCUGGGCCGGUUCUGACGCUGAGGCGCGAAAGCGUGGGGAGCAAACAGG